AGAGUUUGAUCAUGGCUCAGGACGAACGCUGGCGGCGUGCCUAAUACAUGCAAGUAGAACGCUGAAGGGAGAGCUUGCUCUUCUGGAUGAGUUGCGAACGGGUGGGUAACGCGUAGGUAACCUGCCUGGUAGCGGGGGAUAACUAUUGGAAACGAUAGCUAAUACCGCAUAACAUUGACUAUUGCAUGAUAGUCAAUUAAAAGGUGCAAUUGCACCACUACCAGAUGGACCUGCGUUGUAUUAGCUAGUUGGUGGGGUAACGGCUCACCAAGGCGACGAUACAUAGCCGACCUGAGAGGGUGAUCGGCCACACUGGGACUGAGACACGGCCCAGACUCCUACGGGAGGCAGCAGUAGGGAAUCUUCGGCAAUGGACGGAAGUCUGACCGAGCAACGCCGCGUGAGUGAAGAAGGUUUUCGGAUCGUAAAGCUCUGUUGUAAGAGAAGAACGAGUGUGAGAGUGGAAAGUUCACACUGUGACGGUAUCUUACCAGAAAGGGACGGCUAACUACGUGCCAGCAGCCGCGGUAAUACGUAGGUCCCGAGCGUUGUCCGGAUUUAUUGGGCGUAAAGCGAGCGCAGGCGGUUAGAUAAGUCUGAAGUUAAAGGCUGUGGCUUAACCAUAGUACGCUUUGGAAACUGUUUAACUUGAGUGCAGAAGGGGAGAGUGGAAUUCCAUGUGUAGCGGUGAAAUGCGUAGAUAUAUGGAGGAACACCGGUGGCGAAAGCGGCUCUCUGGUCUGUAACUGACGCUGAGGCUCGAAAGCGUGGGGAGCAAACAGGAUUAGAUACCCCGGUAGUCCAA
Molecule: ribosomal RNA, 805 nt
Filed under: uncultured bacterium
Lineage: Bacteria
Description: bacterial SSU rRNA
Rfam family: Bacterial small subunit ribosomal RNA
Source: RNAcentral